This 388-nucleotide ribosomal RNA is filed under the name uncultured bacterium. RNAcentral describes it as "bacterial SSU rRNA". It matches the Rfam family "Bacterial small subunit ribosomal RNA", at positions 28 to 417 of the family's 1533-position model. The record is from RNAcentral.
GACGAACGCUGGCGGCGUGCUUAACACAUGCAAGUCGAGCGGUAAGGCCCUUUCGGGGGUACACGAGCGGCGAACGGGUGAGUAACACGUGGGUGACCUGCCCUUAGCUCUGGGAUAAGCCUGGGAAACUGGGUCUAAUACCGGAUAUGACUCCAUGACGCAUGUUGUGGGGUGGAAAGCCUUGUGCGGCUAGGGAUGGGCCCGCGGCCUAUCAGCUUGUUGGUGGGGUGAUGGCCUACCAAGGCGACGACGGGUAGCCGGCCUGAGAGGGCGACCGGCCACACUGGGACUGAGACACGGCCCAGACUCCUACGGGAGGCAGCAGUGGGGAAUCUUGCGCAAUGGGCGAAAGCCUGACGCAGCGACGCCGCGUGAGGGAUGAAGGCCU